This 441-nucleotide ribosomal RNA is filed under the name uncultured bacterium. Its description in RNAcentral is "partial 16S ribosomal RNA". It matches the Rfam family "Bacterial small subunit ribosomal RNA", at positions 338 to 795 of the family's 1533-position model. The record is from RNAcentral.
CCUACGGGUGGCAGCAGUGGGGGAUAUUGCACAAUGGGGGGAACCCUGAUGCAGCGACGCCGCGUGGGUGAAGGAGUAUCUCGGUAUGGAAAGCCCCAUCGGCAGGGAAGAAGCAAGACGGUACCUGACUAAGAAGCCCCGGCGAACUACGUGCCAGCAGCCGCGGUAAUACGUAGGGGGCGAGCGUUAUCCGGAUUCACUGGGGGUAAAGGGAGCGUAGGCGGCCAUGCAAGCCAGGGGUGAAAGCCCGGGGCCCAAACCCGGGACUGCCGUUGGAACGGGAUGGCUGGAGUGGGGGAGGGGCAGGCGGAAUGCCUGGUGUAGCGGUGAAAUGCGUAGAUAUCGGGAGGAACACCGGCGGCGAAGGCGGCGUGCUGGACCGCGACUGACGUUGAGGCUCGAAAGCGUGGGGAGCGAACAGGAUUAGAUACCCGGGUAGUC